UAAACAGGCGAUACAUUAAUUAUUACAGGAAUGUAGAUGAUGUAAAGAUAGAAAUCUGAUCCUUUAAAUUGAAAGUGACUGAUAGAGCACAGUCAUAAUUGUGAACUGGUCUUUACUGUUAGUCUAUGCUGUAAUCACCACUUUUUUAAACAGUGUCAUCUUUACAAAACUUCAAAAACCUUAAGAUCUUGAACCUGAAUUCACAGUACUUUGCAAAACAUGAAGAGGCUGGCUGUUUUGGUAAGAAAUGUUCCCGUUUCUGUUUUACUGAACAGGCGAUCUAAAACACAAAUAUUUGUUUGUCCAUCUUUCAAAGCUUGUGCCCUAGGAUCUCUGGCUUGUUUAGAGGAGCUGAAUCUUCCUUCAGGAAAUGGUGUAAAAUCAACCAUCUCCAUUGUAAUUGAACAGUUUCAGCAUCUCAAACACCUGAGAGUUCUCUCAGCCACUCUAGUACUUGUGGAUAGCAACCUGUAUGAGUUAGCAAAAGCUGCCAAAGAAGGACAUCUUCAAGCAAUUCAGAGACUGGAUCUCACUGCCAACCAUGACAUAACAGACUCCGGCUGGAGAAACUUCUUUCUUACUUUGGACAGCAUGUCUGACCUAAAGGAACUGAUCCUCAGCAGGUUGUAUACUUGCAGCUUGCAGCCUGCCGACUCUCCAGUGAGGGCUUUUGUGCAUUGCAUCUCACGGCUCAGCAGUUUAAUGAAAAUUGUGAUGUUUGGCUGGCUGCUGGACAAGGAGCUUCUCACCAUGUUUAAUAAGAUGAAGGAGCAGCACCCACAGUCAAAGUGUCUCAAUAUCAUGUGGAAGUGGGUACUGCCCUUUGCACCAGUCAUACAGGACGGAACACCCUAGGUUAUGACACCAGCACUCAGUAAUCCCUUUUCUUGUCCUUGUUUUGGGUUUUUCAUACCUAAAUUUAAUCAAAAAUAAGUAAUAGCUGUUUAAGUAAACAGUUGUGAUUGUUUUUUUUUACAUUCUUAUUAUAUAACUGUGAAAUUAUAGUUUGAUUUUGACAGCUGCAUUCAGCAUGUAUUUUUAUGUUUUUUUUGAUAGCAUUGUUUUUAUUUAAAGACCAAUUUGGACUAGUCUACUAUAGAUCCAAUAAUCUAUACAUCAUCUCCAACAUUGUACUAAUAAAAGAACGUGCUCACUCACCCUAUACUCUUUAUACCCAAUGGAAUAACUUUAAUUGUUCUGUUGAUUUGUGCCUGUUGAUCGGACAGAGUUAUAACAAUGUAUGACGUUAUACAGUUGUGUUAUUCAUUUCUUUCCAGGUGUCCAAUAACCUUUCAUAUUGUUGUUUAAAGUACCAGUCUGAUAAUAACAAGUGUCACCGUUUUAAUUGAUCAAAAUAUUAAACAGUAAGUUACUGUUUGCAGUCCUUUGGCGUGCUCUUAUUGUCUUGACUCGGACGCUGCGGUUUCAUAUAGAGGUGGAUUUGUGAUGAUUGUAAACCUGUGACUUCAUAAAUAAAUACAACUAGACACAAUAUAAAGUUAUUUUAUUUAGCUUUUUUUAUAUCGCUUUGAAAUUCGUAUUUUAAUAAAGUACCCAAAAAGCCAGACAAAAAGAAUGCAAUUUCCAAUUUUAUACAAUGUAGUGCAGCAUUUCCUAUACUCGUAAUGAAAUCCAAAGUUACAGAAUCCAUUCUUACAAGCUUUUAAUA
This is a long non-coding RNA of Polyodon spathula (Mississippi paddlefish), 1669 nucleotides long. RefSeq lists it as uncharacterized. The transcript is spliced from 2 exons. NCBI's taxonomy places the organism in Eukaryota, Metazoa, Chordata, Actinopteri, Acipenseriformes, Polyodontidae. The record is from RefSeq and is a predicted model, not a curated record.